CAGUGAUGAUAUGGGUGAAGGAAGUGGUGUAGCGAUUCCUUUGAGCGUACGCACAGAAACUUGAUCAGGCUAAAUGGUGGAUAAGGUUGCUAGACAAACCGAAGUCCGAAAGGUAAACGUAAAACCAAGACAGUAAAUCAAGGCGCAGUGAAGGAAAGA
Molecule: non-coding RNA, 159 nt
Filed under: Sharpea porci
Lineage: Bacteria; Bacillati; Bacillota; Erysipelotrichia; Erysipelotrichales; Coprobacillaceae
Source: RNAcentral